UUUCCUUUUUCAAAACCAUGU
This 21-nucleotide non-coding RNA is filed under the name Caenorhabditis elegans. Lineage: Eukaryota; Metazoa; Nematoda; Chromadorea; Rhabditida; Rhabditidae. The record is from RNAcentral.